GGGGACCUUCGGGCCUUGCGCUAUCAGAUGAGCCUAGGUCGGAUUAGCUAGUUGGUGAGGUAAUGGCUCACCAAGGCGACGAUCCGUAACUGGUCUGAGAGGAUGAUCAGUCACACUGGAACUGAGACACGGUCCAGACUCCUACGGGAGGCAGCAGUGGGGAAUAUUGGACAAUGGGCGAAAGCCUGAUCCAGCCAUGCCGCGUGUGUGAAGAAGGUCUUCGGAUUGUAAAGCACUUUAAGUUGGGAGGAAGGGCAGUAAGUUAAUACCUUGCUGUUUUGACGUUACCGACAGAAUAAGCACCGGCUUUCUUCGUGCCAGCAGCCGCGGUAAUACGAAGGGUGCAAGCGUUAAUCGGAAUUACUGGGCGUAAAGCGCGCGUAGGUGGUUCGUUAAGUUGGAUGUGAAAGCCCCGGGCUCAACCUGGGAACUGCAUCCAAAACUGGCGAGCUAGAGUACGGUAGAGGGUGGUGGAAUUUCCUGUGUAGCGGUGAAAUGCGUAGAUAUAGGAAGGAACACCAGUGGCGAAGGCGACCACCUGGACUGAUACUGACACUGAGGUGCGAAAGCGUGGGGAGCAAACAGGAUUAGAUACCCUGGUAGUCCACGCCGUAAACGAUGUCAACUAGCCGUUGGAAUCCUUGAGAUUUUAGUGGCGCAGCUAACCGAUUAAGUUGACCGCCUGGGGAGUACGGCCGCAAGGUUAAAACUCAAAUGAAUUGACGGGGGCCCGCACAAGCGGUGGAGCAUGUGGUAAAAUUCGAAGCAACGCGAAGAACCUUACCUGGCCUUGACAUGCUGAGAACUUU
This 809-nucleotide ribosomal RNA is filed under the name Pseudomonas aeruginosa. Its description in RNAcentral is "bacterial SSU rRNA". It matches the Rfam family "Bacterial small subunit ribosomal RNA", at positions 194 to 999 of the family's 1533-position model. The record is from RNAcentral. Lineage: Bacteria; Pseudomonadati; Pseudomonadota; Gammaproteobacteria; Pseudomonadales; Pseudomonadaceae.